CGGACGGGUGAGUAAUGUCUGGGAAACUGCCUGAUGGAGGGGGAUAACUACUGGAAAUGGUAGCUAAUACCGCAUAACGUCUCCGGACCAAAGUGGGGACCUUCGGGCCUCACACCAUCGGAUGUGCCCAGAUGGGAUUAGCUUGUAGGUGGGGUAAUGGCUCACCUAGGCGACGAUCCCUAGCUGGUCUGAGAGGAUGACCAGCCACACUGGAACUGAGACACGGUCCAG
This 231-nucleotide ribosomal RNA is filed under the name uncultured Enterobacterales bacterium. Its description in RNAcentral is "partial 16S ribosomal RNA". It matches the Rfam family "Bacterial small subunit ribosomal RNA", at positions 99 to 334 of the family's 1533-position model. Lineage: Bacteria; Pseudomonadati; Pseudomonadota; Gammaproteobacteria; Enterobacterales. The record is from RNAcentral.